Molecule: ribosomal RNA, 378 nt
Filed under: uncultured eukaryote
Lineage: Eukaryota
Description: SSU rRNA
Rfam family: Eukaryotic small subunit ribosomal RNA
Source: RNAcentral
AGCUCCAAUAGCGUAUAUUAAAGUUGUUGCGGUUAAAAGCUCGUAGUUGGAUUUCUGUUGAGGACGACCGGUCCGCACUAUGUGCGUGUAUCUGGUUCGGCCUUGGCAUCCUCCAGGGGAACAGUGCUGCGCUUGAUUGCGUGGUCUGGUAUUCUGGACUUUUACUUUGAGGAAAUUAGAGUGUUUACGGCAGGCAAUCGCCUUGAAUAUAUUAGCAUGGAAUAAUAAUAUAGGACCUUGGGUCUAUUGUUGGUUUCUAGAUCUAAGGUAAUGAUUAAUAGGGAUAAUUGGGGGCAUUCGUAUUAACACGUCAGAGGUGAAAUUCUUGGAUUGUGUUACGACGAACUACUGCGAAAGCAUUUGCCAAGGAUGUUUUCA